UUGAAUUGAUAUAUAUAUUAUGAAUAUAUUGAUUAUUUGAAUUGAAAUGAAUAUAUAUGUGCAAAUAUGAUUGUACAGUCCAAUUUUUAGCCCAAUUACAAUAAUAGACAAACCCAAUUUUCAGCCCAAUGGACCCACAGGCCCAAAAUCUAAAACGGCCCAUUGGGGCCCAAAAACUAAACAGCACGGGGAACCUUAGGGUUCCCUGCCCUUGCCUCGCGCCACUGCUCCCAUGUGCCUCCAACGUACACCACGCCCGAAGUCUGCCACCGCCAGCCGGCCUUUCACUAAAACGGCAAGUUGACCUUGCCAUGUACCUGCAAAAAGAGACAAAAAUGGAAGCAAAAAACGUGAAGGAACAGUGGCAGAAAUGAAGCCAAAAUAGUAGAUAAAAGUACCUUGUAAAUCGGCUUUAUAAGCCCAAAGAUCGAACAAUGCCGGGGGAAUUCGAUUGAAAAAAAAACAUUGUGGAAUCAAUAAAAAAUCGAAAAAAUCUUCUAAGAGAAGGUUUUUUUUCUUUUCUCUUUUUCAUUACGUUUUCUUGGUUUGUUUCUGUCUGUUUAUUUUUUUUCUUCUUCUUAUUUUAUCAUACACACACACACACACACACACACACACACACACACACACACACACACAGACACACACACACAUAUAUUUAAGAAGAUAUAAGUUAAAAAAGAAAAGAGACGGAGUACUUACCCCGGCGCCGUCGAGGCUCUUCUUCAUUCCGUCCAAAUCGGGGCUGAAGAAGAGUGGCUUCUAGUUUUUGAAGCGACAGAGAGGAAAAGAGGGAGGCUAGGGUUUACAGAAUUGUUGAAAAAUGGCUCAAUGCCUUAAUUUUUAGCUUUUAUAAUAUUUUAAAUGGGGCCG
Molecule: long non-coding RNA, 873 nt
Filed under: Gossypium barbadense (sea-island cotton)
Lineage: Eukaryota; Viridiplantae; Streptophyta; Magnoliopsida; Malvales; Malvaceae
Description: long non-coding RNA (GBAR_LNC018711)
Source: RNAcentral